Molecule: ribosomal RNA, 301 nt
Filed under: uncultured bacterium
Lineage: Bacteria
Description: partial 16S ribosomal RNA
Rfam family: Bacterial small subunit ribosomal RNA
Source: RNAcentral
CAGUCGCCACGGGAAUACGAAGGGGGCUAGCGUUGUUCGGAAUUACUGGGCGUAAAGCGCACGUAGGCGGAUAUUUAAGUCAGGGGUGAAAUCCCAGAGCUCAACUCUGGAACUGCCUUUGUUACUGGGUAUCUUGAGUAUGGAAGAGGUUAGUGGAAUUGCGAGUGUAGAGGUGAAAUUCGUAGAUAUUCGCAGGAACACCAGUGGCGAAAGCGGCUCUCUGGCCCGGAUCUGACGCUGAGGCGCGAAAGCGUGGGGAGCAAACAGGAUUAGAGACCCGUGUAGUCCCUGUCUCUUAUAC